Molecule: ribosomal RNA, 708 nt
Filed under: Salmonella enterica
Lineage: Bacteria; Pseudomonadati; Pseudomonadota; Gammaproteobacteria; Enterobacterales; Enterobacteriaceae
Also listed under: 1 other name
Description: partial 23S ribosomal RNA
Rfam family: Bacterial large subunit ribosomal RNA
Source: RNAcentral
AAGCAGAGGGGGCUUAGUGGUGGGGUGACUGCGUACCUUUUGUAUAAUGGGUCAGCGACUUAUAUUCUGUAGCAAGGUUAACCGAAUAGGGGAGCCGGAGGGAAACCGAGUCUUAACCGGGCGUUAAGUUGCAGGGUAUAGACCCGAAACCCGGUGAUCUAGCCAUGGGCAGGUUGAAGGUUGGGUAACACUAACUGGAGGACCGAACCGACUAAUGUUGAAAAAUUAGCGGAUGACCUGUGGCUGGGGGUGAAAGGCCAAUCAAACCGGGAGAUAGCUGGUUCUCCCCGAAAGCUAUUUAGGUAGCGCCUCGUGAAUUCAUCUCCGGGGGUAGAGCACUGUUUCGGCUAGGGGGCCAUCCCGGCUUACCAACCCGAUGCAAACUGCGAAUACCGGAGAAUGUUAUCACGGGAGACACACGGCGGGUGCUAACGUCCGUCGUGAAGAGGGAAACAACCCAGACCGCCAGCUAAGGUCCCAAAGUCAUGGUUAAGUGGGAAACGAUGUGGGAAGGCCCAGACAGCCAGGAUGUUGGCUUAGAAGCAGCCAUCAUUUAAAGAAAGCGUAAUAGCUCACUGGUCGAGUCGGCCUGCGCGGAAGAUGUAACGGGGCUAAACCAUGCACCGAAGCUGCGGCAGCGAACGUAUCACUUAAAGCGAUUCAGCGGGUUACGAUUGACGGAGCGAAGCGACGUCAAAGCGUAUACAA